CCUACGGGCGGCAGCAGUAGGGAAUCUUCCACAAUGGGCGAAAGCCUGAUGGAGCAACGCCGCGUGGGUGAAGAAGGUCUUCGGAUCGUAAAACCCUGUUGUUAGAGAAGAAAGUGCGUGAGAGUAACUGUUCACGUUUCGACGGUAUCUAACCAGAAAGCCACGGCUAACUACGUGCCAGCCGCCGCGGUAAUACGUAGGUGGCAAGCGUUAUCCGGUUUUAUUGGGCGUAAAGGGAACGCAGGCGGUCUUUUAAGUCUUAUGUGAAAUCCUUCGGCUUAACCGGGGUAGUGCAUUGGAAACUGGGAGACUUGAGUGCAGAAGAGGAGAGUGGAACGCCAUGUGUAGCGGUGAAAUGCGUAGAUAUAUGGAAGAACACCAGUGGCGAAAGCGGCUCUCUGGUCUGUAACUGACGCUGAGGUUCGAAAGCGUGGGUAGCAAACAGGAUUAGAUACCCUGGUAGUC
This 465-nucleotide ribosomal RNA is filed under the name uncultured bacterium. Its description in RNAcentral is "partial 16S ribosomal RNA". It matches the Rfam family "Bacterial small subunit ribosomal RNA", at positions 338 to 795 of the family's 1533-position model. The record is from RNAcentral.